Molecule: long non-coding RNA, 1284 nt
Organism: Homo sapiens (human)
Lineage: Eukaryota; Metazoa; Chordata; Mammalia; Primates; Hominidae
Source: Ensembl
UCCAAAGGUGAAUCUUUUGGUUGGUGAUUUUGAUGAUAGCCACAAAGCAAGCAGGCUGUAUGGUAGCCUUGAAAACCAACAGGCCACAAUCACAGUGAAAACCUCAGGUUGGCAGCCACUGGAGGAUACAAAAUGAGUUUGGAUCUCCUUCAAUGCCCCAUUCCCAGAGAACUGUCAUUAUUUGACCUGCUGGUAGUUCCCUAAAGGACGUGCAAGGAUGUUUUUAUUUGACUGGACACUUGAAGCUUGCCCUGUAUGAACAGCCCCCAUCUUCCCAUGCUUGUCAAAAAUCAGAGGCAACUAACACUGCGGCUUCCUGAGAGUCUCACUCUGUCACCCAGGCUGGAGAGCAAUUGCACAAACACUUGGCUCACUGCAGCCUCAACUUCUUGUCCUCAAGUGAUCCUCCCACCUUAGCCUCCUAAGUAGCUGGGACCACAGGGAACUCCGGAUGUGACUCCUGUUACAUGAAAAUGGAAGAGGUCAGAGUUGUCCAAGAGGGAGGCCAGCCACAUCCAGGCAGGGCCCCCAUGGUCAGAACCCUGCUAGAGCCAUCAAGGUCCCAGAGCUCCCAAGAUGGUGGCAAGCCUUUUGUUCUCUGACCAGAGGUUCCUGGCCUCACGGAUUCCAAGGAAUGGAACCUUGGGCCAUGCGUGCACUUGAUUUUGCAGAUGAGUCUGGAAGUGUUAGUUGCAAAGAUAUGCAUUUACUUCUCUGGCUACAAAAAAGAAUAGAAAUGCACAAAGCAGAGCAGUGUGAAGAAGAAGAGGCGAUGACCCCUAGACCGACCAAAGCCCGUGCUCCACUGCCCAGUGCCUAUGUCCCACCACUGUCGCUGCCACCCUGCCCGAGAGAAAGGCUGAAGGGGAUGCUAAAGGAGAUAAAACCAAGGUUAAGUAGGAACUGCAGAGAAGAUCCACAAGGUUGUCUGCUAAACCUGCUCCUCCAAAGCCACAGCCGAAGCCCAGAAAGGCCUCUGCAAAGAAGAGAGAGAAGGUACCUACAGAGAAGAAGGGAAAAGCUGAUGCUGGCAAGGAGGGGAAUAACCCUGCAGAAAAUGGAGAUGCCAAAACAGACUAGGCACAGAAAGCUAAAGGUGCUGGAGAUGCCAAGUGAAGUGUGUGCAUUUUUGAUAACUGUGUACUUCUGGUGACUGUACAGUUUGAAAUACUAUUUUUUAAUCAAGUUUUAUAAAAAUGCAGAUUUUGUUUAGCUUUUUUUUUUUUUUUUAAGCUAUGUUAGUACACAGAAUACUUCAUUGUUGUUUUGGGGAGAAGGGCCAUA